This 438-nucleotide small RNA is filed under the name Pongo abelii (Sumatran orangutan). Its description in RNAcentral is "retained intron". The record is from RNAcentral. Lineage: Eukaryota; Metazoa; Chordata; Mammalia; Primates; Hominidae.
UGGCAGUCCGUGUCCCACAAUGUCAGGGCUUGUGCAAGCCCAUGGUCAGCUGAACUCAUGAUGUCCAAGUGGAGCUGGUAUGCAACGUUGCUAACCCGGUUUCCCCUGCUCUCCCCAGAGGACCUUGUGCAGAUGCCUCCGACGCCCCCCAGCAGCCAUGGCAGCGACAGCGACGGCUCCCAGAGUCCCCGCUCUCUGCCCCCCUCCAGCCCUGUCAGGCCCAUGGCGCGCUCCUCCACGGCCAUCUCCACCUCCCCACUCCUCACUGCCCCUCACAAAUUACAGGGGACAUCAGGGCCACUGCUCCUGACAGAGGAGGAGAAGCGGACCCUGAUUGCUGAGGGCUACCCCAUCCCCACAAAACUCCCCCUCACCAAAGCCGAGGAGAAGGCCUUGAAGAGAGUCCGGAGGAAAAUCAAGAAUAAGAUCUCGGCCCAG